CCGUAGGGUGCUCUCUUUCCUCUUCAUUCCUGGUCUUCCAGCGUGCUCCGGCGGUUCGCUAAGACAGGUGUGAAAUCCCCGGGCUUGACCUGGGAAUGGCGCUUGUGACUGGCGGGCUGGAGUACGGCAGAGGGGGGUGGAAUUCCACGUGUAGCAGUGAAAUGCGUAGAGAUGUGGAGGAACACCGAUGGCGAAGGCAGCCCCCUGGGCCGAUACUGACGCUCAUGCACGAAAGCGUGGGGAGCAAACAG
This 251-nucleotide ribosomal RNA is filed under the name uncultured prokaryote. Its description in RNAcentral is "partial 16S ribosomal RNA". It matches the Rfam family "Bacterial small subunit ribosomal RNA", at positions 525 to 775 of the family's 1533-position model. The record is from RNAcentral.